GCCACAAAAUUCUAUUCUUUCAUUUAAAAGACGUACAGAAGGGAGCAGUCAAAGCUGUAGGGCAGCACUGCAAAGACACUGGGAAUCAAGACAGCCUCCAUCUUUCUGCUUAACCAUGAUCAGCACACAGCUUCGUAAGCUGGCUGCUGGUGCUCCAGCAUCUUGUCUAUGAUCCUGGCAACCAGAAGAGGAAGGGAAAGGAAAACUCAUGCAGCAUCUUGCUGAGUCUGUUCUGUUGAAGAAUGUUCCUUGCAGAUUCCUGAAAACAGUUCUGCUUACAAUUCCAUGGCCAGAAUCUAGUCCCCCUUAGCUGCAGAGGAAGCCAGAGAAACAGGAGCAUUUGCUAUGGUCUGGGUGCUGCUGGAGUGUGUCCCUCAAAGUUGCAUGUGUGGAAGGCUUGAUCUCAGAGUCCCCCUGAAGCACCGGGGCUGCUCCAUCCUUGGCAGGGAUUAAUGCUGUUCUCAUGCAGGGAGUGGAGUCUCACAGGAGUGGACUAGGUCCUGCAGGGUGGGUUAUUUUCAAAGCUAACCUGGCCGCACACCGCUGUCUUGUUUCCUGCCUUAUCCAGUGACACUAUUCCCUCUCCCCUGCUCUCAGUCUUUCCUGCUCCCUCCCUCUUUUUCUCUUCCAUGAACUUCCCCAAUAGGAUGGUAUCUACCAUGUAGUGACAGGCUAUAAGGCCCUCCCCAAAGGCCAUUCCGCUAGGGCUGCGCCAUCUGGGAAUUUAGCCUCAAAAACUGUAAGCAAAACAACUCUCUUUUCUUUAUAAAGCAUCCAGCCUUGGGUAUUUUGUCAUAGCAACACAAAGUGACUAACUUCAUCUUAGUUCACAGACACCCUCUCCACUUUUCUCCAGCACUUACUAGCUACACUGCAUGAUAUGAGUCUCCUUCAAUUAUUCUGUGUUCAGCGGACAAGGAAGCUGUCUUUACUAAAACUGUGAGCUCCUUGGAUAAUUAAUUAUCACGUUCCUUUUACUGUAUCAUUCACAGUGCUUGAUAUGGGGCUAGAAUGUGUUGCCAUUCCCCAGAAUUUUAGAGGUUCUAUUUCUCAUGAAAAGGAGAACCAUGAGCAGUAGCUAAGUAGCCAGCAAUCAGACACAGUAUCAUUAACAUCUGAUGAUUCGCUUAUUGUGUAUGCAGCCCCUCUGCCCGGGCUCAUAAACCAGAGCCAUGAAGAGUGUGACUGCACUCAGGAAACUUACAGUUUUAGCAAACAAUGCUUCCUGCUCAAGGAACACAGGAAAACAGGAGGGAGCAAUGAGUGGCUCAUAGGCUACAUGGUACAGAUAACUGGAGAAGAAAAGGACCAUCGAAAACCUUGGUGCGGAUGCUUUGCUGAAGAAAACAGGACCUGCUAUGGGAAUUUAUGAUGUUGAAGUGCAGCAGCUAAUUCUAUGCAUCCACUUGACGGAGCCACAAGGAAACCUCUGACCCAUACAAUGACUCUGCAGUGACUUUUGGCAUAUUGAGUAUCUUCUAAACUGCAGCCUCAGGAAUAAAGAGGAAGGUUGCAUCCCUUUUUCUGAAGCGGUGUAUGAGCUACUGAGGGAGGAGGAAGAAGACAACCCAUGACAAAGUACAGUGACAGAAGGAUGUGCCAAGUUGUAAGGAUGCAGGGAAGGGCCAUUAAGCGGAGGCAAAGAGGGCCUCCAGGAGACAGGGUGAGACUACGUCUUAAAAGACUUCUCUAAGAAGUGGUGGCCAAGUGGGGAGCGCUACAUGUACUAUAUCGUCUCAUUCAAACCUUGCAGAGACCUUAAAGAACAGAUGCAAAGCACAGUAGUUAUCGGAGUACAAAGAGUGUUUCACUGAUGAGUCACCACAUUAGGGUUACAGUUGGGAUUCCUGCCUGAAUGCCUAAAUGCGACCUGAAUGCAGUAAGAGCCAAGUGCCCCAUCGUGAGAUGACGCCCCAGUUGGAAGCCUCUCAGGGAAGCCAUCAUUUUCAGAACAAAGAAGAAACUCUGUCAUGACUGUACCUGUCCCCACCAGCAUUUUCUCCUUAUCCUCUCCUGUUUCCAUUCAAGCCAUAUCACAGACCUGGUCUUUCAUCCGUCUAGCCUCUCCCUUGCCCUAUUCGCUGUCUGGAAAACUGUGACUCCUCUUUCAAAGCCCAGGACAAUUGUUAUCUUUUAUGAGGAGCAACCCCAAACUUCAGCUCCCCACAAAACAUUUUCUCAGGUUUUGUAAAUACAGACAUAGUGCCCCAUGACUGGAGACAUACAUAUAUCCCUUCCCGUAAGAAUGAGUGUUUUUCAGUGGCAGCAGCCACCUCCCAUUUGAAUGACACUCACUGCUUUUCUGAAUGUGUCUAGCAUAGAAGGUACCUAAGAGGUGUUCCCAGAUGAGCUUUCUUAUUGUUUUGUAACUGUAUCGAAGGUACUACAUCCCAGGACAUUUAUCUACCUGUUUUGAGAAUCAUAACACUCAGCCCUUACAAAAGCCCUGUGAAGUUGGUUCUGUCAUUCUUGCCUGAGGAAACUGGGCAAAGAAAGAGGAAACUGGGAAAGAAAGGAGAAGCAAAACCCAGACCAUGCACCACAGCUCCAGAGCCCAGACCUUUGGCAACUCUGCUCAGAGACCAUUGUUGGUUGUUUAAAGAUGUGCUAAAUGAUUCACAGACCACUCAGAGCUCUUGCAAUAUUAGUAGUCAGCUAAAUUUGACUCUAUACCUGUGCUUAAAAGGGAGAUGAAGGAAACUCAAUAGGAAAAGAGCCUGACUCCCAGUCUUGCCAAAAACAAAACUUGCAACUGUUUUCUUCUGUUACACUAAGAAUAUUUUCCAGGGAUGGUAGUGCUGGGACGUGCCUGUAAUCCCAGGACUCUGGUAGGCUGAG
This is a long non-coding RNA of Fukomys damarensis (Damara mole-rat), 2838 nucleotides long. RefSeq lists it as uncharacterized. NCBI's taxonomy places the organism in Eukaryota, Metazoa, Chordata, Mammalia, Rodentia, Bathyergidae. The transcript is spliced from 3 exons. The record is from RefSeq and is a predicted model, not a curated record.